RNAcentral lists this transfer RNA (78 nucleotides) under Mollicutes bacterium. Its description in RNAcentral is "tRNA-Ile". It matches the Rfam family "tRNA". Rfam says of the family: Transfer RNA (tRNA) molecules are approximately 80 nucleotides in length. Their secondary structure includes four short double-helical elements and three loops (D, anti-codon, and T loops). Lineage: Bacteria; Bacillati; Mycoplasmatota; Mollicutes. The record is from RNAcentral.
GGUUCCUUGGCUCAGUCCGGUUAGAGCGCUUCGUUGAUAACGAAGAGGCCGCAGGUUCAAAUCCUGCAGGAACCACCA